GUGCCAGCCGCCGCGGUAAUACGUAGGGGGCAAGCGUUGUCCGGAAUUAUUGGGCGUAAAGCGCGCGCAGGCGGCUUCUUAAGUCUGAUGUGAAAGCCCACGGCUCAACCGUGGAGGGUCAUUGGAAACUGGGAAGCUUGAGUGCAGAAGAGGAGAGUGGAAUUCCACGUGUAGCGGUGAAAUGCGUAGAUAUGUGGAGGAACACCAGUGGCGAAAGCGGCUCUCUGGUCUGUAACUGACGCUGAGGCGCGAAAGCGUGGGGAGCAAACAGGAUUAGAUACCCCCGUAGUCC
This 292-nucleotide ribosomal RNA is filed under the name uncultured bacterium. Its description in RNAcentral is "partial 16S ribosomal RNA". It matches the Rfam family "Bacterial small subunit ribosomal RNA", at positions 505 to 796 of the family's 1533-position model. The record is from RNAcentral.